GCGGUUUCUCAUGCCAGGGUGACUCGGAGCUGACACAGGGACGGAUGUUGUACGUGAUAUUCAGAUGGCGGGUUUGACCCUUCGAUCCUCCAGAGCAGCAGGCCGGGGCCCUAGCAGCCAGGGUGGGUAGUCCCUUGCCAUCUCCCCAACCUGUGCUCCUCUGAAGCGCCCACUUCCAGAGCUGCUUACGUGUACAGUGAAGAUCAGGGCCUGCAGCGAGCCUGGCUCUGACCUCUGCUCCCACCCAUGCUCCUGACUCUGGCCCUGCCCAGCUACCACUGGACUGGUAGAGAAAAGAUGAGGAAAAGCGAUUAAGUGCUCGACCCCUGGCGGAUACUGAUUUUAGAAGGAGGAGGCCCCUGAGCUGAUGCACAGAGGAGUUUCUGGAUUCUUAAAAUUGGGCUACUGAAGAAACAGAAGCUUCCGGAUGCAGAGGGAAGCCGAGAGAGCCUCGUCUCUCGAGAGCCGAUGACAUUUUCCCAGGAGAGAGGCCCUCUCUGUGUACACUGUCACGCCGAAAGAUUUGGGUCUCCAUUCUUCGACCUCUACACAUUAAAACCAAGAAAGAAAAAAAAUGAUGCCAGCCGACAGCUGGAUCGGGACAAAAACGCAAAGGGGGAAAGGGAGAGAGUUGGCCUUCUUUUCAAGCCAACCCCUGGAGAAAAGUUUAGUAGUUUCCCCAUACAGAUGGAGUAAUACAAUGCCCAAAUACCCACCACCUCUGCUUCUCCCUCUGCCCCAAGCUCGGACCACUGGCCGCCGUGGCUGUAACUGACCGAGAGAACGGGCACCUCUCUGCAGAUCCUUUUCUUUUCCUUUUAAGUCCUUUUCAAACCUGCAGGUUCAAAAGGUAGUGGCUAGAAUUUAUGCUGAAGUGCAGAAACGGGCUUUGGAGCUGAGCAGUGUCCUAAUGCAGGUGAAAAGCAUGUAUUGAUUACUUAAAGAAAGUUAAAAUAAAAGCAAUUUUUCUCCCCAUUUCA
Molecule: long non-coding RNA, 980 nt
Organism: Ornithorhynchus anatinus (platypus)
Lineage: Eukaryota; Metazoa; Chordata; Mammalia; Monotremata; Ornithorhynchidae
Exons: 3
Source: RefSeq, a predicted model, not a curated record